AAUCUUUGAACGCACCUUGCGCUCCCUGGUAUUCCGGGGAGCAUGCCUGUUUGAGUGUCAUUUCAUUCUCAACCUCGAAUCGUUUGUUUACAGACUUUACGAGGCUUGGACUUUGGAGUGUGCCGGUCUCUAACGAGAUCGACUCCUCUUUAAAUGCAUUAGCUGGAACCUCUUGUGGACCAGACUACGGUGUGAUAAUUAUCUACGCUGUUGGUCUUGUGAAGCACUUUAUUGUUACGAGGUUCUGCUUCUAAUCGUCCUUUACUGCGACAAUGAGGGUGUUCUCUUUUGAAUGCCUUUGACAUUUUGACCUCAAAUCAGGUAGGACUACCCGCUGAACUUAAGCAUAUCAAUAAAGCG
RNAcentral lists this ribosomal RNA (360 nucleotides) under Typhula ishikariensis. Its description in RNAcentral is "eukaryotic LSU rRNA". The stretch from base 1 to 60 matches the Rfam family "5.8S ribosomal RNA", at positions 95 to 154 of the family's 154-position model. The record is from RNAcentral. Lineage: Eukaryota; Fungi; Basidiomycota; Agaricomycetes; Agaricales; Typhulaceae.